UAGUAGAAAUGUGAUUACUGAUCAAAGUCAAUACAACACUCUGGGGCACAUAAACCACAUCUGAGAAAAUACCCAGCUUUACUGUUUUCCAGUCUACCCAACUGCAAGUGUCCUCAAAAUGUCAUCAACAAUAAACUGCAAAAGGCUUCACAUCUCCUCAUUAAACAGUCUCCCUCAGGCACUGGGCUGAGGGAGAAAUUGCCUGCUUCCUAAGAUGGCAUUUAUGAAUUCAGACACGGAUACCAGCACUUCCACUAAAUGCAAAAGUUUAUAUAUUGAAGCCUGUUUAUGGAGCAAUCAGUGCAGGGUACAUAGAAGCAAAGAGCCAUUCCAGAUAAUUACCAUAUGAAUGGGCUUAAUAUUUCUCUGACAUACCCCAAACAUCUACUGCACAAUUUGAAAUCUAGAUUGGAAAAUAUGUCUUCCUGGUGCCCUGGGGGUUUUGUUCUUGUCAGAUUCCACAGCACACCCUCAAGUGACAGAAGACACAGCUACCUUUUUCACACUGAAUGACAAAGUUUAUUUCAUAUAGAAUACUAUAUGAUUUACCUUUGCUUCAAAGAAAUGGAUGAAGCAAGUCAACUGAAUAU
This 590-nucleotide long non-coding RNA is filed under the name Bos taurus (domestic cattle). Its description in RNAcentral is "long non-coding RNA NONBTAT000206". The record is from RNAcentral. Lineage: Eukaryota; Metazoa; Chordata; Mammalia; Artiodactyla; Bovidae.